This 367-nucleotide signal recognition particle RNA is filed under the name Pan troglodytes (chimpanzee). Its description in RNAcentral is "Metazoan signal recognition particle RNA". It matches the Rfam family "Metazoan signal recognition particle RNA". Rfam says of the family: The signal recognition particle (SRP) is a universally conserved ribonucleoprotein. It is involved in the co-translational targeting of proteins to membranes. The record is from Rfam by way of RNAcentral. Lineage: Eukaryota; Metazoa; Chordata; Mammalia; Primates; Hominidae.
GCCUGACGUGGUGGCAGGUGCCUGUAAUCGCAGCUACUUGGGAGGCUGAGGCAGGAGAAUCGCUUGAACUCAGGAGGUGGAGGUUGCAGUGAGCUGAGAUGGUGCCACUGAACUCCAGCCUGGGCGACAAAAGCGAAACUCCAACUCAAAAAAUAAAUAAAUAAAAUAUAGAUAGAUAGAUAGAUAGAUAGAUAGAUAGAUAGUGACCUGCCAGGAGCAGGGGACCACCGGGUUGCCUAAGGAGGGGUGAACUGUCCCAGGAUGGAAAUGAAACAGGUCAAAACUCCUGUGUUGAUCAAUAGUGAGAGAGCACCUGUGAAUAACCACUGCACUCCAGCCUGGGCAACAUAGUGAGACCCGAUCUAUA